GCAGUGGUGGUUCAGCGUAGAAUUUUCCCCUUCCAUAUAGGAGACCCAGGUUCGAUUCCUGGCCAUUCCA
Molecule: transfer RNA, 70 nt
Filed under: Loxodonta africana (African savanna elephant)
Lineage: Eukaryota; Metazoa; Chordata; Mammalia; Proboscidea; Elephantidae
Rfam family: tRNA
About the family: Transfer RNA (tRNA) molecules are approximately 80 nucleotides in length. Their secondary structure includes four short double-helical elements and three loops (D, anti-codon, and T loops). Further hydrogen bonds mediate the characteristic L-shaped molecular structure. tRNAs have two regions of fundamental functional importance: the anti-codon, which is responsible for specific mRNA codon recognition, and the 3' end, to which the tRNAs corresponding amino acid is attached (by aminoacyl-tRNA synthetases). tRNAs cope with the degeneracy of the genetic code in two manners: having more than one tRNA (with a specific anti-codon) for a particular amino acid; and 'wobble' base-pairing, i.e. permitting non-standard base-pairing at the 3rd anti-codon position.
Source: Rfam by way of RNAcentral